RNAcentral lists this ribosomal RNA (468 nucleotides) under uncultured bacterium. Its description in RNAcentral is "partial 16S ribosomal RNA". It matches the Rfam family "Bacterial small subunit ribosomal RNA", at positions 28 to 507 of the family's 1533-position model. The record is from RNAcentral.
GACGAACGCUGGCGGCGUGCUUAACACAUGCAAGUCGAACGGAAAGGCCCUGCUUUUGUGGGGUGCUCGAGUGGCGAACGGGUGAGUAACACGUGAGUAACCUGCCCUUGACUUUGGGAUAACUUCAGGAAACUGGGGCUAAUACCGGAUAGGAGCUCCUGCUGCAUGGUGGGGGUUGGAAAGUUUCGGCGGUUGGGGAUGGACUCGCGGCUUAUCAGCUUGUUGGUGGGGUAGUGGCUUACCAAGGCUUUGACGGGUAGCCGGCCUGAGAGGGUCACCGGCCACAUUGGGACUGAGAUACGGCCCAGACUCCUACGGGAGGCAGCAGUGGGGAAUAUUGCACAAUGGGCGGAAGCCUGAUGCAGCAACGCCGCGUGCGGGAUGACGGCCUUCGGGUUGUAAACCGCUUUCGCCUGUGACGAAGCGUGAGUGACGGUAAUGGGUAAAGAAGCACCGGCUAACUAUGUG